CCUACGGGUGGCAGCAGUGGGGAAUAUUGGGCAAUGGGCGCAAGCCUGACCCAGCAACGCCGCGUGAAGGAAGAAGGCUUUCGGGUUGUAAACUCCUUUUGUGAGAGAAGAUAAUGACGGUAUCUCACGAAUAAGCACCGGCUAACUCCGUGCCAGCAGCCGCGGUAAUACGGAGGGUGCAAGCGUUACUCGGAAUCACUGGGCGUAAAGAGUGCGCAGGCGGGCUUGUAAGUCAGAUGUGAAAUCCUGUAGCUUAACUACAGAACUGCAUUUGAAACUAUGAGUCUAGAGUGUGGGAGAGGUAGGUGGAAUUCUUGGUGUAGGGGUAAAAUCCGUAGAUAUCAAGAGGAAUACUCAUUGCGAAGGCGACCUACUGGAACAUUACUGACGCUCAUGCACGAAAGCGUGGGGAGCAAACAGGAUUAGAUACCCCUGUAGUC
Molecule: ribosomal RNA, 440 nt
Filed under: uncultured bacterium
Lineage: Bacteria
Description: partial 16S ribosomal RNA
Rfam family: Bacterial small subunit ribosomal RNA
Source: RNAcentral